Molecule: ribosomal RNA, 483 nt
Filed under: uncultured bacterium
Lineage: Bacteria
Description: partial 16S ribosomal RNA
Rfam family: Bacterial small subunit ribosomal RNA
Source: RNAcentral
AGUGAACGCUGGCGGCGUGCUUAACACAUGCAAGUCGAACGAGAAACGGAUUUAGCUUGCUAAAUUGCAGUCUAAGUGGCGCACGGGUGAGUAAUGUAUAGAUAAUAUGCCUUUUACUAAGGGAUAACAGUUGGAAACGGCUGCUAAUACCUUAUAUGCCUUUAAUACAUAAGUAUGCAAGGGAAAGAUUUAUUGGUAAAAGAUUAGUCUGUAUUGUAUCAGUUAGUUAGUGAGGUAAUGGCUACCCAAGACUAUGCCGCAUAACUGGGUUGAGAGGAUGGUCAGUCACACUGGAACUGGGACACGGUCCAGACUCCUACGGGAGGCAGCAGUGCGGAAUAUUGCACAAUGGGGGAAACCCUGAUGCAGCAACGCCGCGUGGAGGAUGACACAUUUCGGUGCGUAAACUCCUUUUAUAUAGGAAGAUAAUGACGGUACUAUAUGAAUAAGCACCGGCUAACUCCGUGCCAGCCGCCGCGGUAA